GGUUGCGUGGCCGAGUGGUCUAAGGCGCAGGAUUAAGGAUCACUAACACUCCUGUCCGAAAGGGCGCAGGUUCGAACCCUGCCGCAGCCA
This 90-nucleotide transfer RNA is filed under the name Pleodorina starrii. RNAcentral's name for it is "tRNA-Leu". It matches the Rfam family "tRNA". Rfam says of the family: Transfer RNA (tRNA) molecules are approximately 80 nucleotides in length. Lineage: Eukaryota; Viridiplantae; Chlorophyta; Chlorophyceae; Chlamydomonadales; Volvocaceae. The record is from RNAcentral.